RNAcentral lists this unclassified non-coding RNA (340 nucleotides) under uncultured fungus. Its description in RNAcentral is "sequence contains ITS1". The stretch from base 1 to 105 matches the Rfam family "5.8S ribosomal RNA", at positions 50 to 154 of the family's 154-position model. Lineage: Eukaryota; Fungi. The record is from RNAcentral.
GAAAUGCGAUACGCAAUGCGAAUUGCAGAAUUCCGCGAAUCAUCAGAUUCUUGAACGCAACUGGCGCUGGAGGGAUAUCCUUCCAGCAUGUCUGUUUCAGUGUCUGAAAACUUCCAAAUCAAUUUAAUGUGUUUGACAAGGGGCAUUCCUUUAUGGACUGCAUUUUCCAAGUCUUACAUGAAAGAUGUAUAUGUGGGUCUUUGGAUCCAUCGAAUUGGUCACUGAUUCUUCGGUGAUUUCGAUUGGAUUUCACCAAUUACUCGUAUACAUAUAGAAAUUAUAUUUAUACAUACUUUAUCAUCUGCAUCUGAAAUCAGGCAAGAAAACCCGCUGAACUUAA